RNAcentral lists this ribosomal RNA (375 nucleotides) under Clostridioides difficile. RNAcentral describes it as "bacterial SSU rRNA". It matches the Rfam family "Bacterial small subunit ribosomal RNA", at positions 217 to 609 of the family's 1533-position model. Lineage: Bacteria; Bacillati; Bacillota; Clostridia; Peptostreptococcales; Peptostreptococcaceae. The record is from RNAcentral.
AGUACAGGAUGGACCCGCGUCUGAUUAGCUAGUUGGUAAGGUAACGGCUUACCAAGGCGACGAUCAGUAGCCGACCUGAGAGGGUGAUCGGCCACAUUGGAACUGAGACACGGUCCAAACUCCUACGGGAGGCAGCAGUGGGGAAUAUUGCACAAUGGGCGAAAGCCUGAUGCAGCAACGCCGCGUGAGUGAUGAAGGCCUUCGGGUCGUAAAACUCUGUCCUCAAGGAAGAUAAUGACGGUACUUGAGGAGGAAGCCCCGGCUAACUACGUGCCAGCAGCCGCGGUAAUACGUAGGGGGCUAGCGUUAUCCGGAUUUACUGGGCGUAAAGGGUGCGUAGGCGGUCUUUCAAGUCAGGAGUGAAAGGCUACGGCU